UUUUCUGCACCAGUUCAUCCUGUUAUACAACGACAAACCAGCAGCAACAACGGCUCUUCUGAUUGGCUGCCUCUCUCGAGCUGCAGGUGUGAUGAAGUGUUCAGAGCCACCUGAGCUCAUCAUCAGAAACUUUGUGUUUAACGUCAGGAAAUGAGCAAAGCAGAAGAAGAGCAGCAGGACGGACGCUUUGCUCCUCUGCAGCAGUGUGUUUGGAUCAGUGAGCAGAGAGAAAACAUCCACACUGAGCAUGCUCAGCCGCUUCGACGCCACAUGAGUCAGAGCGCGGGUCCACGUUGUUCGCCUGGGUCACGGGGUGACGAUGACAGCCGUGGGUCUACCGCCGAGUCCAGAACCCACCAAGCCCGCACGCGGCUGUCAGGACAAGCAGAGACUGCCCACGCUUUGGGUUACCGUGGAAACAGCUCCAGGACUGCCGGGUCUCGUGGGAACCAAAGGAUUAUGGGUCAGCAUCAUCCUCAGCGCUUCUUCCUCCUCCUCCACCUCCAAACCAAGCAACCACAGAGCCAAGUAGAUGAAACAAGCGCACCUCACCCUGCAGGUCGUUCCUGUGAACGUCCACUCUUAAUAACAGGGCGGCGAUCCCCUGGGGACAAGCUCCUCCCCCGACUUCACCGUAGAAGGAAACGAACCACAUGUCGUGUCCAAAUUCAUGGGCUGCAUCCUCUUGAGGACCCGGCCUUCGCGGUCUACAUGGGCCGGGUCCUCAGAAGAUCGGGUAGGCCGGAAGUACGAGGUUGGGGAAAUUGGACGGUCCAGCCUUCUGAUUAGCGUCACCACUGCCUCGGUGGAGUUUAAUAAACUCGGCCGUCUGCUCCUUGCUAUCUAAAAUAUAACAGGACACUGGAGGAAACUCUCGACCGUCUCACACGUCUGUUUAAUCAGUUUUCUGUUUGACGUUUAUUCAGCUGUGUGAAAACCACCCGGGGGAUUAAUAAAGUUUUAUUUUAUCUAAACUAAUAACUUUGAUCUCAGCCAAACCGAUUUACUCACGAACAAACAAAACACUGAAAAAAGCCCAACAACAACAUUUUAGGUUGUCUAAGUGAAUUAUAUAUCCCGUUUAACCUGAGUAGUGAAACUCCGCGGUGAUCUGAAAAUGAUGUGCCGGAGUUGUGCCGUUCUCGGCCGCAUCGGUGACCCUCGAGCUCCCGGCUAGCUGUCGAGCUGGUGGGUAAAAGAUGUCUCUGAAAACGUCGAAGCACUUUUGCAAAUAUGCGAUAUCUUGAUAAACUGAGCAGAUAUUUGAAGUUUACACAGCUGAAAAUAUGUUCAAAGUUUAUUUUGUGACCCAGAAAGAUUAAUAAGAGUAAUUUUAAAACUUAGUGGCGGCUGCCAUCGUUGGAAACUGGAGUUUGGCUGGGCCGCGCUAUGAAUUCUGGGAUAUCGUGGGCCACGAAAGACACACCCGACCCCAAAUUCGUGGAAAAGGAGGACGCAUUUGUCGGCUGCAUUCAGAGGAGUCUACGAAUUUGGACAGCCUUCAUCGUGUCGCUGUGACGUAAUCGGUCCACAAAUGCGGCCUCAGGAGGACGCAGCCCAUGAAUUUGGACACGUCCACUGAGUGACCCUCCAGAACCAGGAGCAGGGCAUGGCUAAAAGAUGGGCGUGGUCUGAAAAAUGGUUCCUCAAACCAAAGAGUGAACUCGUUCCUGAUUGGUUUAUGGUUUUGUCGCUGUUUACAGGUCUCAGUGAAUAAAAUGUGAAAUUGGUGAAGUGAUGGUGAUGUUAGAGCAGGGCGCCCGGAUGAAGAGCCCCACACGGCCACAGAAGCUCGUCUCACUUCCUGUUUUAGUUCCUGUGAUAUUUGAGGCCACAUGUGCAAACUGUGACGAGGGCUUUAAUCUACACGUUCUGACUGCAUGUGUGACGAUUAUCACACUAAUUCCACACGCGUGAAUCUGCAGGUAAUUUAUAAAUCCAGUGACAGGUGUCUACAGGUAUGCACAGACAGGUAGACAUUUCCCCGUCGCAUCGGGUUGACGCUGAUAUUUCAUCAGGUAUUCGGCCUCCGGUGUGAGCUUUACGUCUCAAUCUGCUUCAACAAUGAAAUCAAAUAAAGUGCAACAGCUGAGCGAGCUUUCACCAGGUGUGCCGCACCUCUGUGUUGUGGAAAUGACAGUCUUCACUAGUGGGGAUAGUUACAAAGCUUUCUUCAUUAUGAAUUAGCAUACAUGUUUUUAUUGAACAUUUGAAGAACCAGCAAAAAAAACCCCAGAAACUCUUGUAGAGGACAAAGUCCGAGAUAGAAACGACACGGAGCAGGUGCAUCUAGUGCAGGUAAAACCCCACAGAGCUCAGCAGCCAGCGCAGCAAAUUCUGGAUCCUUGUCUUUUAGUGACUCACACUGAGGCUACGUCCACACGUACCCGGGUAUUUUUGAAAACGCAGAUUUUUCUAUGCGUUUGCACCUCCCGUCCACACGUAAACGGCGUUUUCGGUGACUGAAAACGGAGAUUUCUAAAAACUCCGGCCAGGGUGGAUAUUUAGAAACUCAGUUUUUGUAUUUACGUGUGGACGAGAAAACACAGCGUCAAAGAUGUGCGCCUUUUUUGAGGUCACACUGUGCGCCACGUUAUUGUUUAGGUGAAAUGAAUUUCUACAAUACUGUUAAUUCUACUCUCUGCAGUGUUUAAAUGCUUACAUAUACACACAGUUACUGUCCCUCCACACAUACGACUCGGUUCUGCUUCUAUGCCCCAGCUUUGUUUACUUUUUCC
Long non-coding RNA from Astatotilapia calliptera (eastern happy), 2738 nucleotides. Lineage: Eukaryota; Metazoa; Chordata; Actinopteri; Cichliformes; Cichlidae. The record is from Ensembl.